This 433-nucleotide ribosomal RNA is filed under the name uncultured bacterium. RNAcentral's name for it is "partial 16S ribosomal RNA". It matches the Rfam family "Bacterial small subunit ribosomal RNA", at positions 29 to 507 of the family's 1533-position model. The record is from RNAcentral.
AACGAACGCUGGCGGCAUGCCUAACACAUGCCAGUCGAAUGAGACCUUCGGGUCUAGUGGCGCACGGGUGCGUAACGCGUGGGAACCUGCCUUUAGGUUCGGAAUAACUCAGAGAAAUUUGAGCUAAUACCGGAUGAUGUCUUCGGACCAAAGAUUUAUCGCCUUUAGAUGGGCCCGCGUUGGAUUAGCUAGUUGGUGGGGUAAAGGCCUACCAAGGCGACGAUCCAUAGCUGGUCUGAGAGGAUGAUCAGCCACACUGGGACUGAGACACGGCCCAGACUCCUACGGGAGGCAGCAGUGGGGAAUAUUGGACAAUGGGCGAAAGCCUGAUCCAGCAAUGCCGCGUGAGUGAUGAAGGCCUUAGGGUUGUAAAGCUCUUUUACCCGAGAUGAUAAUGACAGUAUCGGGAGAAUAAGCGCCGGCUAACUCCGUG